UUUAUUAUCGUUUGAAUGACAAAAGCAGUUGAAAAUUAUUGUGAGUUUGGGUAGUAGUUUAAGCUUAUUUUAGUAGAUUUUUAUCAUGUCUUGAUCUGUUGAGGUUUUAUUGAUUCUGAGCUAUUUUACGCGCUUGAGGUGGUGUUUCGUGUGUUUGCAGGUCUGAAGUAUCAAGAGGAAUUUGAUUAGAGAAGAAUCCAGACAAAAAU
Molecule: long non-coding RNA, 209 nt
Filed under: Lathyrus oleraceus (garden pea)
Lineage: Eukaryota; Viridiplantae; Streptophyta; Magnoliopsida; Fabales; Fabaceae
Description: Pisum sativum (pea) long non-coding RNA (PSAT_LNC002707)
Source: RNAcentral